CCUACAUGGCCACUGCUCCAAAUUUGUUCCAGAUGGAUUUAGUCACAGAAUGAUUGAUUAUCCACUCAGUUGUGAGCUAUGUGGUUAAGCUCAGAAAUCUACAACAAACUGAUCUGGAGCUGUGUUUCACGAUCUGGACAUUCAUGGAUGGAGUUUACAUAAGGUGAGGCUCACCUGUGGAAGUGACAGUGGCAGGCCCCAGCAAAUGGGAAUCCCAGGCAGAAUUCAAACGCUGCCUCUGAGCAACAGUGACUCUCCAUGGCAAGUGGCAGGUGCAUUAGGUCAGGAAGCUGGCUUGUCCUGUGGUCCUCAAGUAUCAGGAAGAACUCAGUGCACCUUUGUUGG
This is a long non-coding RNA of Balaenoptera acutorostrata (minke whale), 345 nucleotides long. RefSeq lists it as uncharacterized. The transcript is spliced from 3 exons. NCBI's taxonomy places the organism in Eukaryota, Metazoa, Chordata, Mammalia, Artiodactyla, Balaenopteridae. The record is from RefSeq and is a predicted model, not a curated record.